UGCAGUCGACGAUCCGGUUCGCCGGAUAGUGGCAAACGGCUGAGUAACACGUAGGUAACCUGCCCUUAGGUAUGGGAUAACCUCGGGAAACCGGGGCUAAUACCACAUAAACCCCCCAAGCACAAGCGAAGAGGGGAAAGCCUCCGGGCGCCUUUGGAUGGGCCUGCGUCCCAUCAGGUAGUUGGCGAGGGUAAUGGCCCACCAAGCCUAUGACGGGUAGCUGGUCUGAGAGGACGGUCAGCCAGAGGGGGACUGAGACACGGCCCCCACUUCUACGGAAGGCAGCAGCAGGGAAUCUUGCGCAAUGGGCGAAAGCCUGACGCAGCGACACCGCGUGGGGGAUGAAGGCCUUUGGGUCGUAAACCCCUUUUACUAGGAAAGAGAACGGACGGUACCUAGGGAAUAAGCCCCGGCUAACUACGUGCCAGCAGCCGCGGUAAAACGUAGGGGGCAAGCGUUAUCCGGAUUUAUUGGGCGUAAAGGGAGUGUAGGCGGCACUAAAAGUCUUCGGUGAAAUCUCACUGCUCAACAGUGAGCCGUUCGGAGAAACUAUGGAGCUAGAGGGCACCAGAGGGAGGCGGAAUUCCCGAUGUAGCGGUGAAAUGCGUAGAUAUCGGGAGGAACACC
Molecule: ribosomal RNA, 627 nt
Filed under: uncultured bacterium
Lineage: Bacteria
Description: bacterial SSU rRNA
Rfam family: Bacterial small subunit ribosomal RNA
Source: RNAcentral